Molecule: ribosomal RNA, 408 nt
Filed under: uncultured bacterium
Lineage: Bacteria
Description: partial 16S ribosomal RNA
Rfam family: Bacterial small subunit ribosomal RNA
Source: RNAcentral
GAUGAACGCUGGCGGCGUGCUUAACACAUGCAAGUCGAACGAAGUGGCGAACGGGUGAGUAACGCGUAAUCAACCUGACCUUCAGAGGGGGACAACAGUUGGAAACGACUGCUAAUACCGCAUACUGAAGGUGGGGAUUGUGUAUGAUUAGCUAGUUGGAGGGGUAACGGCCCACCAAGGCGAUGACCAGUAGUCGGGCUGAGAGGAUGAACGGCCACAAUGGGACCGAGACACGGCCCGAACUCCUACGGGAGGCAGCAGUAGGGAAGCUUCCGCAAUGGGCGCAAGCCUGACGGAGCAACGCCGCGUGAAUGAAGAAGGUUUUCGGAUCGUAAAGCACUGUUGUAAGGGAAGCGGUAUCUUACCAGAAAGCCACGGCUAACUACGUGCCAGGAGCCGCGGUAAUAC